UCAAACCAAACACAGCCUAAAAGAAAAGAUAACCCCCUGGCUACUCUAGUAGUUACAAAAUCGACUUGCGUAUCACUUGCUAUUGCGGUGUCUCUUCAUCCUCUGCUCUGAGACCUGUACAGAUCACCUCUUUCAAUUUCUUUAACUUUUUAAUCUUUGAAUCUCUUCAGAAAAUCGAAGGCAAAGGUAUUUAACAUUGGAAGCGGGAUUUUCUCAAAGAAUGCGCAUUUAGUACCGCCAUUGACGUGCUCUCAAGAUCCUAGGUCGUUCAGAUGUUUGUUCAGACGUCUGACAAAUCAAGCUCUGUGUCACUAACGAUCAUAGCUGAGGUGGUUUCCUUCGAAUCUUUUGGAUGAUGGUUUUCUUGAAAUACAUGGUAUAAAUGAAUAGUGAGACAGGAAGUGAAAUUGAAUAUAUGGUAUAAAUGAAGCUGGAAUUUACCCUAAGAAAUAAAUGGCGAGACAGGAAGAGGGAAAGGGGAGGACCUUUUCAGCAAGGGCAUCCUGAAUUGUAUCAGUAUCAGUUGAGAUAGUGGAGAUGACCUGAUAUGUAGCAGUUGUGGAUGAAUUGCUGUCAAAGAAGCUAACAUCUUGUUGUAGGACAGCCUCGAGAUACCUCAACCUCAUCCGAGACGCCUGCCUUUCAGCAGUUCUUGUCCAACACAGUCCUUCUGCAUCCAUGAAUUACGCAAGUCAAAUUGGGACAAUGGUUACUGCAGGGUUCCCUUGACUAUGAUUUAAAUGAGAAGUAAAAAAGAAUAAUCAUAUAUUUGCAUCUUCUUAUAAAUCAUUAGCAUUUGCCCAGGUGAAGUCUAUUUCUUCAGAUUUACCUUUAUCUGUAAGCACAAAAUUUUGCUAUUGUUGUCAAAAAUAGUUAAAGUAUUGUAUAUUAAAGUUCUAUUGUGACAUUUCACGGUAAGAAACUGCUAUCAUUUUCAUAUGAGUUUAUGUGAACUUGCAAUGAUCUAACA
This is a long non-coding RNA of Asparagus officinalis (garden asparagus), 970 nucleotides long. RefSeq lists it as uncharacterized. Lineage: Eukaryota; Viridiplantae; Streptophyta; Magnoliopsida; Asparagales; Asparagaceae. The record is from RefSeq and is a predicted model, not a curated record. The transcript is spliced from 2 exons.